GCCGCGAUCGCCUAACCUGGUAUGGCACUGGCCUUGAAAGCCAGGCCCGAAAGGGCUUCUGGGUUCAAAUCCCAGUCGCGGCG
RNAcentral lists this transfer RNA (83 nucleotides) under Candidatus Woesearchaeota archaeon. Its description in RNAcentral is "tRNA-Ser". It matches the Rfam family "tRNA". Rfam says of the family: Transfer RNA (tRNA) molecules are approximately 80 nucleotides in length. Lineage: Archaea; Nanobdellati; Candidatus Woesearchaeota. The record is from RNAcentral.